CUGUAACGUUUAGUAGGGGCA
Molecule: non-coding RNA, 21 nt
Filed under: Arabidopsis thaliana (thale cress)
Lineage: Eukaryota; Viridiplantae; Streptophyta; Magnoliopsida; Brassicales; Brassicaceae
Source: RNAcentral